Molecule: ribosomal RNA, 468 nt
Filed under: Klebsiella michiganensis
Lineage: Bacteria; Pseudomonadati; Pseudomonadota; Gammaproteobacteria; Enterobacterales; Enterobacteriaceae
Description: bacterial SSU rRNA
Rfam family: Bacterial small subunit ribosomal RNA
Source: RNAcentral
AAGAGUUUGAUCAUGGCUCAGAUUGAACGCUGGCGGCAGGCCUAACACAUGCAAGUCGAACGGUAGCACAGAGAGCUUGCUCUCGGGUGACGAGUGGCGGACGGGUGAGUAAUGUCUGGGAAACUGCCUGAUGGAGGGGGAUAACUACUGGAAACGGUAGCUAAUACCGCAUAACGUCGCAAGACCAAAGAGGGGGACCUUCGGGCCUCUUGCCAUCAGAUGUGCCCAGAUGGGAUUAGCUAGUAGGUGGGGUAACGGCUCACCUAGGCGACGAUCCCUAGCUGGUCUGAGAGGAUGACCAGCCACACUGGAACUGAGACACGGUCCAGACUCCUACGGGAGGCAGCAGUGGGGAAUAUUGCACAAUGGGCGCAAGCCUGAUGCAGCCAUGCCGCGUGUAUGAAGAAGGCCUUCGGGUUGUAAAGUACUUUCAGCGGGGAGGAAGGCGAUAAGGUUAAUAACCUUGUC